UUUAAGUGUCCUAAUGCAGCUGAUUAUUUCAAAGAGUCUAUGUUCGUCUGAUCUCAGAAGCUAAGCAGGGUCGGGCCUGGUUAGUACUUGGAUGGGAGACUCAAAGAGUCUAUGUUGAUUAAAC
Molecule: ribosomal RNA, 124 nt
Filed under: Neogale vison (American mink)
Lineage: Eukaryota; Metazoa; Chordata; Mammalia; Carnivora; Mustelidae
Source: RNAcentral